UACGUAGGGUGCAAGCGUUACUCGGAAUUACUGGGCGUAAAGCGUGCGCAGGCGGUUUUGUAAGUCUGACGUGAAAGCCCCGGGCUCAACCUGGGAAUUGCGUUGGAGACUGCAAGGCUUGAAUCUGGCAGAGGGGGGUAGAAUUCCACGUGUAGCAGUGAAAUGCGUAGAGAUGUGGAGGAACACCGAUGGCGAAGGCAGCCCCCUGGGUCAAGAUUGACGCUCAUGCACGAAAGCGUGGGGAGCAAACAGG
This 253-nucleotide ribosomal RNA is filed under the name uncultured bacterium. RNAcentral describes it as "partial 16S ribosomal RNA". It matches the Rfam family "Bacterial small subunit ribosomal RNA", at positions 524 to 776 of the family's 1533-position model. The record is from RNAcentral.